GUCGAGCGGACUUGAUGGAGCUUGCUCCAUCAAGUUAGCGGCGGACGGGUGAGUAACACGUGGGCAACCUGCCUGUAAGACUGGGAUAACUCCGGGAAACCGGAGCUAAUACCGGAUAGUAUCUUGAACCGCAUGGUUCAAGUUGGAAAGACGGUUUCGGCUGUCACUUACAGAUGGGCCCGCGGCGCAUUAGCUAGUUGGUGAGGUAAUGGCUCACCAAGGCAACGAUGCGUAGCCGACCUGAGAGGGUGAUCGGCCACACUGGGACUGAGACACGGCCCAGACUCCUACGGGAGGCAGCAGUAGGGAAUCUUCCGCAAUGGACGAAAGUCUGACGGAGCAACGCCGCGUGAGUGAUGAAGGUUUUCGGAUCGUAAAACUCUGUUGUUAGGGAAGAACAAGUGCGAGAGUAACUGCUCGCACCUUGACGGUACCUAACCAGAAAGCCACGGCUAACUACGUGCCAGCAGCCGCGGUAAUACGUAGGUGGCAAGCGUUGUCCGGAAUUAUUGGGCGUAAAGCGCGCGCAGGCGGUUUCUUAAGUCUGAUGUGAAAGCCCCCGGCUCAACCGGGGAGGGUCAUUGGAAACUGGGAAACUUGAGUGCAGAAGAGGAGAGUGGAAUUCCACGUGUAGCGGUGAAAUGCGUAGAGAUGUGGAGGAACACCAGUGGCGAAGGCGACUCUCUGGUCUGUAACUGACGCUGAGGCGCGAAAGCGUGGGGAGCGAACAGGAUUAGAUACCCUGGUAGUCCACGCCGUAAACGAUGAGUGCUAAGUGUUAGAGGGUUUCCGCCCUUUAGUGCUGCAGCUAACGCAUUAAGCACUCCGCCUGGGGAGUACGGUCGCAAGACUGAAACUCAAAGGAAUUGACGGGGGCCCGCACAAGCGGUGGAAGCAUGUGGUUUAAUUCAAAGCAACGCGAAGAACCUUACCAGGUCUUGACAUCCU
This 948-nucleotide ribosomal RNA is filed under the name Metabacillus idriensis. RNAcentral's name for it is "bacterial SSU rRNA". It matches the Rfam family "Bacterial small subunit ribosomal RNA", at positions 61 to 990 of the family's 1533-position model. The record is from RNAcentral. Lineage: Bacteria; Bacillati; Bacillota; Bacilli; Caryophanales; Bacillaceae.